GGGGAGGGCAGGAUACAUACAGGACAAUUGUCUUGUAAUUGGAAUGAUGGUGACGUAAAAUCUCACCAGAGUAACAAUUGGAGGGCAAGUCUGGUGCCAGCAGCCGCGGUAAUUCCAGCUCCAAUAGCGUAUACUAAACUUGUUGCAGCUAAAAAGCUCGUAGUUGAAUUUCUGCGUUGUCCGACUCGGCUACUUGCCUUGUCUGGUUUCGCUUUUGGGGUUUUCCCCUUUUUACUUUGAGAAAAUUAGAGUGUUUCAAGCAGACUUGUGUCUUGAAUACUUCAGCAUGGAAUAAUAAAGUGGGACUUUGGUUCUAUUUUGUUGGUUUGUGAACCUUAGUAAUGGUUAAUAGGAACGGUUGGGGGCAUC
This 369-nucleotide ribosomal RNA is filed under the name Babesia gibsoni. RNAcentral's name for it is "SSU rRNA". It matches the Rfam family "Eukaryotic small subunit ribosomal RNA", at positions 466 to 892 of the family's 1831-position model. Lineage: Eukaryota; Apicomplexa; Aconoidasida; Piroplasmida; Babesiidae. The record is from RNAcentral.